CCUACGGGAGGCAGCAGUAGGGAAUCUUUCACAAUGGGCGAAAGCCUGAAGGAGCAACGCCGCGUGCAGGAUGAAGGCCUUCUGGUUGGAAACUGCUUUUAUAAGCGAGAAAUAUGAUGGUAACUUAUGAAUAAGGAUCGUCUAACUACGUGCCAGCAGCCGCGGUCAUACGUAGGAUCCGAGCAUUAUCCGGAGUGACUGGGUGUAAAGAGUUGCGUAGGUGGCCUAAUAAGUAGCUAGUGAAAUCUGGUGGCUCAACCAUUCAGACUAUUAGCUAAACUGUUAAGCUCGAGACCGUUAGGGGUAACUGGAAUUUCUAGUGUAGGAGUGAAAUCCGUAGAUAUUAGAAGGAACACCAAUAGCGUAGGCAGGUUGCUGGGACGGUUCUGACACUAAGGCACGAAAGCGUAGGGAGCAAACGGGAUUAGAUACCCUGGUAGUC
This 442-nucleotide ribosomal RNA is filed under the name uncultured bacterium. Its description in RNAcentral is "partial 16S ribosomal RNA". It matches the Rfam family "Bacterial small subunit ribosomal RNA", at positions 338 to 795 of the family's 1533-position model. The record is from RNAcentral.